This 1766-nucleotide long non-coding RNA is filed under the name Homo sapiens (human). Its description in RNAcentral is "non-protein coding lnc-ZNF800-7:1". The stretch from base 1383 to 1448 matches the Rfam family "mir-1255 microRNA precursor family". The record is from RNAcentral. Lineage: Eukaryota; Metazoa; Chordata; Mammalia; Primates; Hominidae.
AUGACCUCUAAAUGUUCAAGUGAAAGGAAGAAUCAUAUAUCUCUCACUUUAAAUAAAAAACCAGAAAAGAUGAAGCUUAAUGAGGAAGGCACAUGGAAAGCUGAUGUAGGCUGAAAGGUAGGCCUCUUGCGCCAAACAGAGAGCCAAGCUGUAGAUGCAAAGGGAAAAUUCUUGAAAAUUAAAAGUGCUACUCCAAGGAACAGGCAAAUGAUAAGCAAGCGAACCAUGCUUACUGCUGAUAUGGAGGAAGUCUGAGUGGUCUGCAUAGAAGAUCAAACGAGCCACAAUGUUCCCUUAAGCCAAAGCCUAAUAAAGAGAAAGACCCUAAUUCCCUCCAGUUUCUUGAGGGCUGAUCGAGGUGAGGAAGCUGCCGAAGAAAAUAACUAGCAGAAGUUACUUCGUGAGGUUUAAGUAAAGAAGUCAUCUACAUAACAGAAAAGCACAAGGUGAAGCAGCAAGUGCUGAUGUACAAACUUCAGCAAGUUUUCCAGAAGACCUAGCCAGGAGCAUUGAUCAAGGUGGAUACACUAAACAUUAGAUUUUCAAUGUAGAAGAAGAUUCCAUCUAGGACUUUUUUUUUUUUUUUUUUUUUUUUUUUUAAUCUAUGAGGAAAAGUCAAUACCUGGCUUCAGAGCUUCAAAGGACAAGCUGAUCUUCUUGUUAGGGGCUAAUGCGGCUUGUGACUUUAAGUGAAAGCGUAUGCUCAUUGACCAUUCUGAAAAUCAUAGGGCCCUUAAGAAUUAUGCUAAAUCUCCUCUGCCUGUGCUCUAUAAAUGGAAUAACAAAGCCAGAUGACAGCACAUCUGCUUACAGUGUUGUUUACUAAACACUUUAAGCCCACUAUUGAAACCUACUGCCCAGAAAAAAAGGUUUCUUUCAAAGUAUGACUGCUCAUUGACAAUGUACCUGGUCACUCAAGAGCUCUGAUGGAAGUGUACAAAGUGAUUAAUGCUGUUUUUGUAUCUGCUAACACAGUAUCCAUUCUGCAACCCAUGGAUCAAGGAGUGAUUUUGACUUUCAAAUCUGAUUAUUACAAAAGUAUAUUUCAUAAGGCUAUAGCUCCCAUACAUAGUGACUUCUCUGAUGGAUCUGGGAAAAGUACAUUGAAAACAUUCUAGAAAAAAUUCAUAAUUCUAGAUGCCAUUAAGAACAAUCAUGAUUCAUGGAAAUAAGUCAAUAUAUCAUGGGAGGAGGGCAAAAUAGUCUUAAAAGAAAUUGAUUUCAUCUCUUAUAAAUGUCUUUGAGGGGUUCAAGAUUUCAGGGGAAGAAGUAACUGCAGAUGUGGUAGAAAUAGCAAGAGAACUAGAAUUAGAAGUGGAGUCUGAAGAUGUGACUGGAUUGUUGCAAUAUAAUUAUCAAACUUGAACAGAUGAGGAGCUGCUUCUUAUGGAUGAGCAAAGAAAAUGGUUUAUUGACAUGGAAUCUAUUUCCCAUGAAGAUGCUAUGAACAUUGUUGAGAUGUCAACAAAGACUUAUAAUUUCCUACAAACUUAGUUGAUAAAGCAGUGGCAAGAUUUGAGAGGAUUGAAUUCCAAUUUUGAAAAGUUUUUCUGUAGGUAAAAUGCUAUCAAAUAGCAUUGCAUACUACAGAGAAAUCUUAUGUGAAAGGAAGAGUCAAUCAAUGCAGCAAACUUUGUUGUCUUAUUUUAAUAAAUUGCCAUAGCCACCCCAACCUUCAGCAACUACCACCCAGAUGAUUCAGCUUCCAUCAACAUGGAGGCAAGAACCUCCACCAGCAGAAAGUGACUUGCUGAAGCUCAUGCUGA